GCUGGUUUGGCUCAGUGGAUAGAGUGUCAGACUGCGGACUGAAGGGUCCCUGGUUUGAUUCUGGGAAAGGGCA
Molecule: transfer RNA, 73 nt
Filed under: Myotis brandtii (Brandt's bat)
Lineage: Eukaryota; Metazoa; Chordata; Mammalia; Chiroptera; Vespertilionidae
Rfam family: tRNA
About the family: Transfer RNA (tRNA) molecules are approximately 80 nucleotides in length. Their secondary structure includes four short double-helical elements and three loops (D, anti-codon, and T loops). Further hydrogen bonds mediate the characteristic L-shaped molecular structure. tRNAs have two regions of fundamental functional importance: the anti-codon, which is responsible for specific mRNA codon recognition, and the 3' end, to which the tRNAs corresponding amino acid is attached (by aminoacyl-tRNA synthetases). tRNAs cope with the degeneracy of the genetic code in two manners: having more than one tRNA (with a specific anti-codon) for a particular amino acid; and 'wobble' base-pairing, i.e. permitting non-standard base-pairing at the 3rd anti-codon position.
Source: Rfam by way of RNAcentral